UACAGAGGGUGCAAGCGUUAAUCGGAAUUACUGGGCGUAAAGCGUGCGUAGACGGUUAUGUAAGUCAGAUGUGAAAGCCCCGGGCUUAACCUGGGAAUGGCAUUUGAGACUGCAUAGCUAGGGUGCGGAAGAGGGAAGCGGAAUUUCCGGUGUAGCGGUGAAAUGCGUAGAUAUCGGAGGGAACACCAGUGGCGAAAGCGGCUUCCUGGUCCAGCACCGACGUUCAGGCACGAAAGCGUGGGGAGCAAACAGG
This 253-nucleotide ribosomal RNA is filed under the name uncultured bacterium. Its description in RNAcentral is "partial 16S ribosomal RNA". It matches the Rfam family "Bacterial small subunit ribosomal RNA", at positions 524 to 776 of the family's 1533-position model. The record is from RNAcentral.